This 668-nucleotide ribosomal RNA is filed under the name uncultured bacterium. Its description in RNAcentral is "bacterial SSU rRNA". It matches the Rfam family "Bacterial small subunit ribosomal RNA", at positions 202 to 858 of the family's 1533-position model. The record is from RNAcentral.
AAAGAUGGUUCUGCUAUCACUCUUGGAUGGACCUGCGGUGCAUUAGCUAGUUGGUAAGGUAACGGCUUACCAAGGCAAUGAUGCAUAGCCGAGUUGAGAGACUGAUCGGCCACAUUGGGACUGAGACACGGCCCAAACUCCUACGGGAGGCAGCAGUAGGGAAUCUUCCACAAUGGACGAAAGUCUGAUGGAGCAACGCCGCGUGAGUGAAGAAGGGUUUCGGCUCGUAAAGCUCUGUUGGUAGUGAAGAAAGAUAGAGGUAGUAACUGGCCUUUAUUUGACGGUAAUUACUUAGAAAGUCACGGCUAACUACGUGCCAGCAGCCGCGGUAAUACGUAGGUGGCAAGCGUUGUCCGGAUUUAUUGGGCGUAAAGCGAGUGCAGGCGGUUCAAUAAGUCUGAUGUGAAAGCCUUCGGCUCAACCGGAGAAUUGCAUCAGAAACUGUUGAACUUGAGUGCAGAAGAGGAGAGUGGAACUCCAUGUGUAGCGGUGGAAUGCGUAGAUAUAUGGAAGAACACCAGUGGCGAAGGCGGCUCUCUGGUCUGCAACUGACGCUGAGGCUCGAAAGCAUGGGUAGCGAACAGGAUUAGAUACCCUGGUAGUCCAUGCCGUAAACGAUGAGUGCUAAGUGUUGGGAGGUUUCCGCCUCUCAGUGCUGCAGCUAACGC